RNAcentral lists this ribosomal RNA (460 nucleotides) under uncultured bacterium. Its description in RNAcentral is "partial 16S ribosomal RNA". It matches the Rfam family "Bacterial small subunit ribosomal RNA", at positions 338 to 795 of the family's 1533-position model. The record is from RNAcentral.
CCUACGGGGGGCAGCAGUGAGGAAUAUUGGUCAAUGGACGAGAGUCUGAACCAGCCAAGUAGCGUGAAGGAUGACUGCCCUAUGGGUUGUAAACUUCUUUUAUAUGGGAAUAAAAUGUUCCACGUGUGGGAUUUUGUAUGUACCAUAUGAAUAAGGAUCGGCUAACUCCGUGCCAGCAGCCGCGGUAAUACGGAGGAUCCGAGCGUUAUCCGGAUUUAUUGGGGUUAAAGGGAACGUAGGUGGAUUGUUAAGUCAGUUGUGAAAGUUUGCGGCUCAACCGUAAAAUUGCACUUGAAACUGGCAGUCUUGAGUACAGUAGAGGUGGGCGGAAUUCGUGGUGUAGCGGUGAAAUGCUUAGAUAUCACGAAGAACUCCGAUUGCGAAGGCAGCUCACUGGACUGCAACUGACACUGAGGCUCGAAAGUGUGGGUAGCAAACAGGAUUAGAUACCCGAGUAGUC